Molecule: ribosomal RNA, 761 nt
Filed under: uncultured bacterium
Lineage: Bacteria
Description: bacterial SSU rRNA
Rfam family: Bacterial small subunit ribosomal RNA
Source: RNAcentral
CGAAGCACUUUAAUCGAUUUCUUCGGAUUGAAAUUUUAGUGACUGAGUGGCGGACGGGUGAGUAACGCGUGGGUAACCUGCCUCACACAGGGGGAUAACAGUUGGAAACGGCUGCUAAUACCGCAUAAGCGCACAGUACCGCAUGGUACGGUGUGAAAAACUCCGGUGGUGUGAGAUGGACCCGCGUCUGAUUAGCUAGUUGGCAGGGCAACGGCCUACCAAGGCGACGAUCAGUAGCCGACCUGAGAGGGUGACCGGCCACAUUGGGACUGAGACACGGCCCAAACUCCUACGGGAGGCAGCAGUGGGGAAUAUUGCACAAUGGGGGAAACCCUGAUGCAGCGACGCCGCGUGAGCGAAGAAGUAUUUCGGUAUGUAAAGCUCUAUCAGCAGGGAAGAAGAAAUGACGGUACCUGACUAAGAAGCACCGGCUAAAUACGUGCCAGCAGCCGCGGUAAUACGUAUGGUGCAAGCGUUAUCCGGAUUUACUGGGUGUAAAGGGAGCGCAGGCGGAAGGCUAAGUCUGAUGUGAAAGCCCGGGGCUCAACCCCGGUACUGCAUUGGAAACUGGUCAUCUAGAGUGUCGGAGGGGUAAGUGGAAUUCCUAGUGUAGCGGUGAAAUGCGUAGAUAUUAGGAGGAACACCAGUGGCGAAGGCGGCUUACUGGACGAUAACUGACGCUGAGGCUCGAAAGCGUGGGGAGCAAACAGGAUUAGAUACCCUGGUAGUCCACGCCGUAAACGAUGACUGCUAGGUGUCGG